Molecule: non-coding RNA, 1698 nt
Organism: Callithrix jacchus (white-tufted-ear marmoset)
Lineage: Eukaryota; Metazoa; Chordata; Mammalia; Primates; Cebidae
Source: RefSeq, a predicted model, not a curated record
CUACCCCUAAAAGCCAAAAUGGGAAAGGAAAAGACUCAUAUCAACAUUGUCGUCAUUGGACACGUAGAUUCAGGCAAGUCCACCACUACUAGCCAUCUAAUCUACAAAUUCAGUGGCAUCAACAAAAGAACCACUGAAAAAUUUGAAAAGGAGGCUGCUGAGAUGGGAAAGGGCUCCUUCAAGUAUGCCUGGGUCUUGGAUAAACUGAAAGCCGAGCGUGAACGUAGUAUCACCAUUGAUAUCUCCUUGUGGAAAUUCGAGACCAGCAAGUACUAAGUACUAUCAUUGAUUUCCCAGGACACAGAGACUUCAUCAAAAACAUGAUUACAGGGACAUCUCAGGCUGACUGUGCUGUCCUGAUUGUCGCUGCUGGUGUUGGUGAAUUCGAAGCUGGUAUCUCCAAGAAUGGGUAGACCCAAGAACAUGCCCUCCUGGCUUACACACUAGGUGUGAAACAACUAAUUGUUGGUGUUAACAAAAUGGAUUCCACUGAACCUCCCUACAGCCAGAAGAGAUAUGAGGAAAUCGUUAAGGAAGUCAGCAUUUACAUUAAGAAAAUUGGCUACAACCCCAACACAGCAGCAUUUGUGCCAAUUUCUGGUUGGAAUGGUGACAACAUGCUGGAGCCAACUGCUAACAUGCCUUGGUUCAAGGGUUGGAAAGUCACCCAUAAGAAUGGCAAUGCCAGCGGGACUACACUGCUUGAGGCUCUGGACAGCAUCCUACUACCAACUAGUCCAACUGACAAGCCCUUGCGCCUGCCUCUCCAUGAUGUCUAUAAAAUUGGUGGUAUUGGUACUGUUCCUGUUGGUCGAGUGGAGACUGGUGUUCUUAAACCUGGUACGGUGGUCAUCUUUGCUCCAGUCAACGUUACAACUGAAGUGAAAUCUGUUGAAAUGCACCAUGAAGCUUUGAGUGAAGCUCUUCCUGGGGAUAAUGUGGGCUUCAGUGUCAAGAAUGUGUCUGUCAAGGAUGUUUGUCAUGGCAACGUUGCUGGUGACAGCAAGAACGACCCACCAAUGGAAGCAGCUGGCUUUACUGCUCAGGUGAUUAUCCUGAACCAUCCAGGCCAAAUCAGUGCUGGCUAUGCCCCUGUACUGGAUUGCCACAUGGCUCACAUCGCAUGCAAGUUUGCUGAGCUGAAGGAAAACAUUGAUCUCCAUUCUGGCAAACAGCUGGAAGAUGGCCCUAAGUUCUUGAAGUCUGGUGAUGCUGCCAUCAUUGAUAUGGUUCCUGGCAAGCCCAUGUGUGAGAGCUUUUCAGACUACCCACCUCUGGGUCGCUUUGCUGUUCGUGAUAUGAGACAGACAGUUGCCGUGGGUGUCAUCAAAGCAGUGGACAAGAAGGCUGCUGGAGCUGGCAAGGUCACCAAGUCUGCCCAGAAAGCUCAGAAGGCUAAAUGAAUAUUAUCUCUAAUACCUGCCACCUCAGUCUUAAUCAGUGGUGGAGGAAGAACAGUUUCAGAACUGUUUGUUUCAAUUGGCCAUUUAAGUUUAGUAGUAAAAGACUGGUUAAUGAUAACAAUGCAUCAUAAAACCUUCAGGAGGAAAAGAGAAUGUUUUGUGGACCACUUUGGUUUUCUUUUUUGCGUGUGACAGUUUUAAGUUAUUAGUUUUUGAAAUCAGUACUUUUUAAUGGAAACAACUUGACCAAAAAUUUGUCACAGAAUUUUGAGACCCAUUAAAAAAGUUUAAUGAG